CUGCUCACUUUGGCAGCUCAUAUUCUAAAAUUGGAACGAUACAGAGAUCAGCAAGGCCGCUGAGCAAGGAUGACAUGCAAAUUCAUGAAGCGUUCCAUAUUUUU
This is a small nuclear RNA of Nycticebus coucang (slow loris), 104 nucleotides long. The record is from RefSeq and is a predicted model, not a curated record. Lineage: Eukaryota; Metazoa; Chordata; Mammalia; Primates; Lorisidae.